This 451-nucleotide ribosomal RNA is filed under the name uncultured bacterium. Its description in RNAcentral is "bacterial SSU rRNA". It matches the Rfam family "Bacterial small subunit ribosomal RNA", at positions 64 to 507 of the family's 1533-position model. The record is from RNAcentral.
GAGCGGUAACAGGUGUAGCAAUACAUGCUGACGAGCGGCGGACGGGUGAGCAAUGUUUGGGAAUCUGCCUAUUAGUGGGGGACAACCCGGGGAAACUCGGGCUAAUACCGCAUACGAUCUACGGAUGAAAGCCGGGGACCGCAAGGCCUGGCGCUAAUAGAUGAGCCCAAAUCGGAUUAGCUAGUUGGUGGGGUAACGGCCUACCAAGGCGACGAUCCGUAGCUGGUUUGAGAGAACGACCAGCCACACCGGAACUGAGACACGGUCCGGACUCCUACGGGAGGCAGCAGUGGGGAAUAUUGGACAAUGGGGGCAACCCUGAUCCAGCGACGCCGCGUGGGUGAAGAAGGCCUGCGGGUUGUAAAGCCCUUUCGGUGGGGAUGAAAAGUCUUGGUCUAACACACNCAGGAUCUUGACCUAACCCAAGAAAGAAGCACCGGCUAACUCUGUG